UACGUAGGUGGCAAGCGUUGUCCGGAAUUAUUGGGCGUAAAGCGCGCGCAGGCGGUCCUUUAAGUCUGAUGUGAAAGCCCACGGCUCAACCGUGGAGGGUCAUUGGAAACUGGGGGACUUGAGUGCAGAAGAGGAAAGCGGAAUUCCACGUGUAGCGGUGAAAAUGCGUAGAGAUGUGGAGGAACACCAGUGGCGAAGGCGGCUUCUGGUCUGUAACUGACGCUGAGGCGCGAAAAGCGUGGGGAGCAAACAGG
Molecule: ribosomal RNA, 254 nt
Filed under: uncultured bacterium
Lineage: Bacteria
Description: partial 16S ribosomal RNA
Rfam family: Bacterial small subunit ribosomal RNA
Source: RNAcentral